RNAcentral lists this ribosomal RNA (497 nucleotides) under uncultured bacterium. RNAcentral describes it as "partial 16S ribosomal RNA". It matches the Rfam family "Bacterial small subunit ribosomal RNA", at positions 28 to 507 of the family's 1533-position model. The record is from RNAcentral.
GAUGAACGCUGGCGGCGUGCCUAAUACAUGCAAGUCGAGCGAACGGACGAGAAGCUUGCUUCUCUGAUGUUAGCGGCGGACGGGUGAGUAACACGUGGAUAACCUACCUAUAAGACUGGGAUAACUUCGGGAAACCGGAGCUAAUACCGGAUAAUAUUUUGAACCGCAUGGUUCAAAAGUGAAAGACGGUCUUGCUGUCACUUAUAGAUGGAUCCGCGCUGCAUUAGCUAGUUGGUAAGGUAACGGCUUACCAAGGCAACGAUGCAUAGCCGACCUGAGAGGGUGAUCGGCCACACUGGAACUGAGACACGGUCCAGACUCCUACGGGAGGCAGCAGUAGGGAAUCUUCCGCAAUGGGCGAAAGCCUGACGGAGCAACGCCGCGUGAGUGAUGAAGGUCUUCGGAUCGUAAAACUCUGUUAUUUGGGAAGAACAUAUGUGUAAGUAACUGUGCACAUCUUGACGGUACCUAAUCAGAAAGCCACGGCUAACUACGUG